RNAcentral lists this ribosomal RNA (452 nucleotides) under uncultured Sphingobacteriales bacterium. RNAcentral's name for it is "bacterial SSU rRNA". It matches the Rfam family "Bacterial small subunit ribosomal RNA", at positions 929 to 1382 of the family's 1533-position model. The record is from RNAcentral. Lineage: Bacteria; Pseudomonadati; Bacteroidota; Sphingobacteriia; Sphingobacteriales.
GCGGAGGAGCAUGUGGUUUAAUUCGAUGAUACGCGAGGAACUUACCUGGGCUCGAACGUAAGAUGACUGUAGGUGAAAGCUUACAUCUCUUCGGAGCAUUUUACGAGGUGCUGCAUGGUUGUCGUCAGCUCGUGCCGUGAGGUGUCGGGUUAAGUCCCAUAACGAGCGCAACCCCUACCUUUAGUUGCCAUCAGGUUAAGCUGGGGACUCUAAAGGAACUGCCUACGCAAGUAGUGAGGAAGGCGGGGAUGACGUCAAAUCAGCACGGCCCUUACGUCCAGGGCUACACACGUGCUACAAUGGCCGAUACAGAGGGCAGCUACCUGGUGACAGGAUGCAAAUCUCCAAAGUCGGUCUCAGUUCGGAUCGGAGUCUGCAACCCGACUCCGUGAAGUUGGAUUCGCUAGUAAUCGCGCAUCAGCCAUGGCGCGGUGAAUACGUUCCCGGGCCUU